This 87-nucleotide transfer RNA is filed under the name Pseudomonas phage ventosus. RNAcentral's name for it is "tRNA-Ser". It matches the Rfam family "tRNA". Rfam says of the family: Transfer RNA (tRNA) molecules are approximately 80 nucleotides in length. Their secondary structure includes four short double-helical elements and three loops (D, anti-codon, and T loops). Further hydrogen bonds mediate the characteristic L-shaped molecular structure. tRNAs have two regions of fundamental functional importance: the anti-codon, which is responsible for specific mRNA codon recognition, and the 3' end, to which the tRNAs corresponding amino acid is attached (by aminoacyl-tRNA synthetases). tRNAs cope with the degeneracy of the genetic code in two manners: having more than one tRNA (with a specific anti-codon) for a particular amino acid; and 'wobble' base-pairing, i.e. permitting non-standard base-pairing at the 3rd anti-codon position. Lineage: Duplodnaviria; Heunggongvirae; Uroviricota; Caudoviricetes; Vandenendeviridae. The record is from RNAcentral.
GGCGGGUAGCUACAAUGGGUACAAACGGGGCUUGAACCCCCGGCCACUGUAGAGAUACGGUGAGGGUUCGAUUCCUUUACCCGCCUC